CAGGCCUAACACAUGCAAGUCGUACGCUAACGGGGAUCUUCGGAACCCUUAGUAUAGUGGCGAACGGGUGAGUAAUACGUAGGUAAUCUGCCCCGAAGUGGGGAAUAAUCCGCCGAAAGGCGGACUAAUACCGCAUAUGGUCCAGUUUCCGCAUGAAAACUGGAUCAAAGCCUUCGGGCGCUUCGGGAUGAGCUUGCGCACCAUUAGCUUGUUGGUGAGGUAACGGCUCACCAAGGCGACGAUGGUUAGCUGGUCUGAGAGGAUGAUCAGCCACACUGGGACUGAGAUACGGCCCAGACUCCUGCGGGAGGCAGCAGUGAGGAAUAUUGCGCAAUGGGCGAAAGCCUGACGCAGCCACGCCGCGUGACCGAUGAAGCUCUUAGGAGUGUAAAGGUCUGUUAGGAGGGACGAACAUCCGCCAUCCGGCGGACUGACGGUACCUCCAGAGAAAGCUCCGGCUAACUCCGUGCCAGCAGCCGCGGUAAU
Molecule: ribosomal RNA, 486 nt
Filed under: uncultured bacterium
Lineage: Bacteria
Description: bacterial SSU rRNA
Rfam family: Bacterial small subunit ribosomal RNA
Source: RNAcentral